AGAAACUUCCAGCGAAGAAGAAGAAUGAGAGUUUAAUAUCUUUCAAUUUCACCCCUUAGAACUUGCAAUCUUUCAAUUUCAUCCUUUGGAACUUUCCUUUUAACCCCACAUGAUAUCUUCAGAUUAAAAGACUAAAAAAUCCUCACAUUAAGCAUGUGCAUCGCACGUGCGCCGGAAAAAUGAGAAGAUUCGCCAGAAUAUUCCC
RNAcentral lists this long non-coding RNA (205 nucleotides) under Erythranthe guttata (spotted monkey flower). RNAcentral describes it as "long non-coding RNA (EGUT_LNC002843)". The record is from RNAcentral. Lineage: Eukaryota; Viridiplantae; Streptophyta; Magnoliopsida; Lamiales; Phrymaceae.